This 265-nucleotide long non-coding RNA is filed under the name Zostera marina. RNAcentral describes it as "long non-coding RNA (ZMAR_LNC005975)". The record is from RNAcentral. Lineage: Eukaryota; Viridiplantae; Streptophyta; Magnoliopsida; Alismatales; Zosteraceae.
CUCGGUCAAGUCAUCCUUUGCUCUGGAACUUACGUCUUCGCAUAGGUUCGAUUUUUCCCAAGCAAAAAUCGCCUAUCUUGGGCAAACUCGCCUAUCUUGGGCAAACUCGCCUAUCUUGGGAAAACUCGCCUAUCUUGGGAAAACUCGCCUAUCAAGGGGCAAACUCGCCUAUCUUGGGGCAAACUCGUCCAUUCGAUCAUUGUCUUCAUUCAUCGCUUUGGCUGAAUAAGACCACUCAUAGCCCAGCUCUUUUACCGAAACGAAA